UACGGAGGGGGCAAGCGUUGUUCGGAAUUACUGGGCGUAAAGGGCUCGUAGGCGGCCAACUAAGUCGGAUGUGAAAUCCCCAGGCUUAACCUGGGAACUGCAUCCGAUACUGGAUGGCUUGAAUCCGGGAGAGGGAUGCAGAAUUCCAGGUGUAGCGGUGAAAUGCGUAGAUAUCUGGAGGAAUACCGGUGGCGAAGGCGGCAUCCUGGACCGGCAUUGACGCUGAGUGAGCGAAAGCCAGGGGAGCAAACGGG
This 254-nucleotide ribosomal RNA is filed under the name uncultured bacterium. RNAcentral's name for it is "partial 16S ribosomal RNA". It matches the Rfam family "Bacterial small subunit ribosomal RNA", at positions 524 to 776 of the family's 1533-position model. The record is from RNAcentral.